GACGAGGUGGACAAACGUUAUUCGGAUUUACUGGGCUUAAAGCGUGCGUAGGCGGCUCAGACAGUUGGGUGUGAAAGCCCUCGGCUCAACCGAGGAAUUGCGCUCAAAACUACUGAGCUUGAGGGAGAUAGGGGAGAGCGGAACUGAUGGUGGAGCGGUGAAAUGCGUUGAUAUCAUCAGGAACACCGGUGGCGAAGGCGGCUCUCUGGAUCUCUUCUGACGCUGAGUCACGAAAGCUAGGGGAGCAAACGGG
RNAcentral lists this ribosomal RNA (253 nucleotides) under uncultured bacterium. Its description in RNAcentral is "partial 16S ribosomal RNA". It matches the Rfam family "Bacterial small subunit ribosomal RNA", at positions 524 to 776 of the family's 1533-position model. The record is from RNAcentral.